This 69-nucleotide transfer RNA is filed under the name Rattus norvegicus (Norway rat). It matches the Rfam family "tRNA". From Rfam's summary of the family: Transfer RNA (tRNA) molecules are approximately 80 nucleotides in length. Their secondary structure includes four short double-helical elements and three loops (D, anti-codon, and T loops). Lineage: Eukaryota; Metazoa; Chordata; Mammalia; Rodentia; Muridae. The record is from Rfam by way of RNAcentral.
GGGGAUUUAGCUCAGAGGUAGAGCGCUUGCCUAGCAAGCACAAGACCCUGGGUUCGGUCCCCAGCUCCG